GUAUUCACCAGGAAGAUAUUUAGGGGUUGACAAAAAUACCCCAUACCAGAGAUGGGCAAAUGCUGUUCGAUAUCCGAUUCCCGGAGACUCCUGUUUAAUUUCCAACUCUGAUAUUUACUUCUACUAUGACGCAGACUCGUGUAUAGAAGAACAUCCGUUUAUUUGUCAGAAACCCUAUGGAACUUGUCCAGUCGGGUGGACUACAAAUGGAGAGACAUGCUAUCAGUAUCAUGGUAAUCGUGCG
Patella vulgata (common limpet) is the source of this 244-nucleotide long non-coding RNA. RefSeq lists it as uncharacterized. NCBI's taxonomy places the organism in Eukaryota, Metazoa, Mollusca, Gastropoda, Patellidae. The record is from RefSeq and is a predicted model, not a curated record. The transcript is spliced from 3 exons.